UACAUGCAAGUCGAGCGAACUGAUUAGAAGCUUGCUUCUAUGACGUUAGCGGCGGACGGGUGAGUAACACGUGGGCAACCUGCCUGUAAGACUGGGAUAACUUCGGGAAACCGAAGCUAAUACCGGAUAGGAUCUUCUCCUUCAUGGGAGAUGAUUGAAAGAUGGUUUCGGCUAUCACUUACAGAUGGGCCCGCGGUGCAUUAGCUAGUUGGUGAGGUAACGGCUCACCAAGGCAACGAUGCAUAGCCGACCUGAGAGGGUGAUCGGCCACACUGGGACUGAGACACGGCCCAGACUCCUACGGGAGGCAGCAGUAGGGAAUCUUCCGCAAUGGACGAAAGUCUGACGGAGCAACGCCGCGUGAGUGAUGAAGGCUUUCGGGUCGUAAAACUCUGUUGUUAGGGAAGAACAAGUACAAGAGUAACUGCUCGUACCUUGACGGUACCUAACCAGAAAGCCACGGCUAACUACGUGCCAGCAGCCGCGGUAAUACGUAGGUGGCAAGCGUUAUCCGGAAUUAUUGGGCGUAAAGCGCGCGCAGGCGGUUUCUUAAGUCUGAUGUGAAAGCCCACGGCUCAACCGUGGAGGGUCAUUGGAAACUGGGGAACUUGAGUGCAGAAGAGAAAAGCGGAAUUCCACGUGUAGCGGUGAAAUGCGUAGAGAUGUGGAGGAACACCAGUGGCGAAGGCGGCUUUUUGGUCUGUAACUGACGCUGAGGCGCGAAAGCGUGGGGAGCAAACAGGAUUAGAUACCCUGGUAGUCCACGCCGUAAACGAUGAGUGCUAAGUGUUAGAGGGUUUCCGCCCUUUAGUGCUGCAGCUAACGCAUAAGCACUCCGCCUGGGGAGUACGGUCGCAAGACUGAAACUCAAUGGAUUGACGGGGGCCCGCACAAGCCGUGGGAGCAUGUGGUUUAAAUUCCAAAGCAACGCGAAAAACUUACCGGGUCUUGACAUCCUC
RNAcentral lists this ribosomal RNA (959 nucleotides) under Bacillus sp. SJLL. RNAcentral describes it as "bacterial SSU rRNA". It matches the Rfam family "Bacterial small subunit ribosomal RNA", at positions 52 to 991 of the family's 1533-position model. The record is from RNAcentral. Lineage: Bacteria; Bacillati; Bacillota; Bacilli; Caryophanales; Bacillaceae.